GGGGCGGUGGAAGCUAUGAAAAGAGGCAGGAAAAAAGUUCCUUUGACCCGAUGCUGUCAGAGAGCGUGCAUGAAGAAGAAAGUUAAUGGUAUUUCCAUUUAUAUAAGAAGCGCCUAAGAAAUGCCUGUGACGUUCGUGAACUAGUGAUUGUGAAUUCCAAAUUUGAUGCCAACUUUAUGUGUAAAGAAGCUAACUCCUGCCAACAUCGUGGCUGAAUGAACAGCUGGGACUAUGCUUAACCCAUUCCCAGCUUAUAAAAGCCCCAUGGCAGCUGCAGUGAAGCAUCAGAAAAGUAUAGUAAGAAGAAACUGAAUUUGAAGUGGAUUCUUACAAAGGAAAAAGAAAAUCACUAUUGUAACUAUACCAAAUUACUAUGUAUGUGAGCUCCCAGCUUUGACAUCAAGUCGUUACAGCCACGUAAUGGGAUUACGGAUUAUGUGAUGCAACAAAAUUCAAAUAUGAAAACCAUCUCGGAGGCCGGGCGCGGUGGCUCACGCCUUUAAUCCCAGCACUUUGGGAGGCCGAGGUGGGUGGAUCAUUUGAGGUCAGAAGUUCAAGACCAGCCUGGCCAACACGGUGAAACCCUGUCUCUACUAAAAAUACAAAAAUUAACUGGGCGUGGUGGCACAUGCCUGUAAUCCCAGCUACUCGGGAGGCUGAGGCAGGAGAAUUGCUUGAACCUGGGAGGCGGAGGUUGCAGUGAGCCGAGAUCACGCCAUUGUUCUCCAGCCUGGGCAACAAGAGCAAAACUCUGUCUCAAAAAUAAAAUAAAAAAUUGCUUUAAAAAAUAAAAAUUCAUCUCA
This 803-nucleotide long non-coding RNA is filed under the name Homo sapiens (human). Its description in RNAcentral is "DLGAP1 antisense RNA 2". The record is from RNAcentral. Lineage: Eukaryota; Metazoa; Chordata; Mammalia; Primates; Hominidae.